Molecule: non-coding RNA, 1035 nt
Organism: Macaca mulatta (Rhesus monkey)
Lineage: Eukaryota; Metazoa; Chordata; Mammalia; Primates; Cercopithecidae
Source: RefSeq, a predicted model, not a curated record
CUAUUUUUUUUUUUAUUUUUGUGAUUUCUAUUCCUAAUAGAAACUUUCCUAAAUAAUUUCCAAGGAAGUUUGGAAAAUUCUGCAGACCUCUCUCUCUAUGGUUUUCCCCUUGAAAAUCUGUUUAUCCUGCCAAAAUGUUUUUCUUUUAUGUGAUUAAUUUGCAUGUAAACCCCAAGCAUCUAAACUUGUGGCCCCAGCAUCUGUGCUAAUGGCACCUAACAAACAGAACUUCUCUCCAGCAGGGUCAGGGGUGAAGCUAGAGCUGGAGCCAGAAGCUGAGCGGCACCAUAUGCUGGGCUUUCACCAGAUUAUCAACUCACAAUCCCUUCUGGGGCACCGUCUGAUGAAUAUGAAAUGCUUGGAUUUUUUCCUAAGCUAACGAAGGAUUUCAUGUGAGGAGAGGUCAGUGAAUACACGAGGCAGGAUCCCUCUGAGAGCACAUAGUUAGAGGAACUAGGAACUUGCCUUGUAGGAUUUGUCUGAUGAGGGGGAGGUCCUCUCACCGCUCUCGGACUCCAUCCUGGCUGAGAAGACGGUGAUCGUCCUGGAUGACUGAGUCACCAUCGCGGAGCUGGGAGUGCAGCUCGUAGCUGGCAUGUCUCUCUCCCUGCAGCCUCACCCAGCAGACAAAAGGGCCAUCGUCUCCACAGCCGCUGCCCUGGAUGUUCUUCAGUCCCCACAACAGGUGAGCGUCCCAGGGGCCCAGCGUCCCUGGUCAGUGGAGACAACUUCUUUCUCAGUUAGCACAUCCUGUGAAGGAGAGCAGGAGUCCUCAUGCCUAGAACUGGGGAUUCUUGAAGCUUCUUGCUUCUUAUCCAGGUGGCCCUGUCUCUGAGGAAAGUAUUCAGUGGCUUAGACACAUUUCCUCUUAUGUGCUUUUCCACACCCACCAUGUCCCCAUACGCCAUUUGCUUUACCCUGGGCUUAUCUGUGCCAGGCACAGCCUGCUGCUAGACCGUGACCAAAGGAUCACGUUUUCACUUUUCUAGAAUAAAUUAUAUUUGAUAUCUGAAAAUUCGAUUUCAGCAAUGUAAA